CAAGUAUGAAAGACGGUUGCGAGUCUAUAAGACUCGAGGAAAGUCCGAGCUCCAUAGGGCAGGAUGCCAGAUAACGUCUGGCGAGGGUAACCUUAGGGAAAGUGCCAUAGAAAAGGAAACCGCCACGUAAGUGGUAAGGGUGGAAAGGUGAGGUAAGAGCUCACCAGCAGUCUGGUAACAGGCUGGCU
This 188-nucleotide RNase P RNA is filed under the name Veillonella parvula. Its description in RNAcentral is "partial RNase P RNA component class A". It matches the Rfam family "Bacterial RNase P class A", at positions 1 to 203 of the family's 367-position model. From Rfam's summary of the family: Ribonuclease P (RNase P) is a ubiquitous endoribonuclease, found in archaea, bacteria and eukarya as well as chloroplasts and mitochondria. Its best characterised activity is the generation of mature 5'-ends of tRNAs by cleaving the 5'-leader elements of precursor-tRNAs. RNAcentral also lists the same sequence under 1 other name. The record is from RNAcentral. Lineage: Bacteria; Bacillati; Bacillota; Negativicutes; Veillonellales; Veillonellaceae.